AAAUCGUUUGGUCAAGCUAAUAAGAGCGCAGGGUGGAUGCCUUGGCACUAAGAGCCGAUGAAAGA
Molecule: ribosomal RNA, 65 nt
Filed under: Clostridium sp. TM06-18
Lineage: Bacteria; Bacillati; Bacillota; Clostridia; Eubacteriales; Clostridiaceae
Description: partial 23S ribosomal RNA
Source: RNAcentral